RNAcentral lists this microRNA (23 nucleotides) under Alligator mississippiensis (American alligator). RNAcentral's name for it is "Ami-Mir-194-P4_5p (mature (guide))". Lineage: Eukaryota; Metazoa; Chordata; Crocodylia; Alligatoridae. RNAcentral also lists the same sequence under 2 other names. The record is from RNAcentral.
UGUAACAGCAACUCCAUGUGGGA